ACCAGACUCCUACGGGAGGCAGCAGUGGGGGAUAUUGCACAAUGGGGGGAACCCUGAUGCAGCGACGCCGCGUGGGUGAAGGAGUAUUUCGGUAUGUAAAGCCCUAUCGGCAGGGAAGAAGAAAGACGGUACCUGACUAAGAAGCCCCGGCUAACUACGUGCCAGCAGCCGCGGUAAUACGUAGGGGGCGAGCGUUAUCCGGAUUCACUGGGUGUAAAGGGAGCGUAGACGGCCAAGCAAGCCAGGGGUGAAAGCCCGGGGCCCAACCCCGGGACUGCCCUUGGAACUGCAUGGCUGGAGUGCGGGAGGGGCAGGCGGAAUUCCUGGUGUAGCGGUGAAAUGCGUAGAUAUCAGGAGGAACACCGGCGGCGAAGGCGGCCUGCUGGACCGCGACUGACGUUGAGGCUCGAGAGCGUGGGGAGCAAACAGGAUUAGAUACCCCCGUA
This 446-nucleotide ribosomal RNA is filed under the name uncultured bacterium. RNAcentral describes it as "partial 16S ribosomal RNA". It matches the Rfam family "Bacterial small subunit ribosomal RNA", at positions 330 to 792 of the family's 1533-position model. The record is from RNAcentral.